UACGUAGGGGGCUAGCGUUGUCCGGAAUUAUUGGGCGUAAAGAGCGUGUAGGCGGUCCGGUAAGUCAGCUGUGAAAGUCAAAGGCUCAACCUUUGAAAGCCGAUGGAUACUGCAGGGCUAGAGUCCGGAAGAGGCGAGUGGAAUUCCUGGUGUAGCGGUGGAAUGCGCAGAUAUCAGGAGGAACACCGGUGGCGAAGGCGGGUCUCUGGGCCGAUACUGACGCUGAGGAGCGAAAGCGUGGGGAG
RNAcentral lists this ribosomal RNA (245 nucleotides) under uncultured bacterium. Its description in RNAcentral is "partial 16S ribosomal RNA". It matches the Rfam family "Bacterial small subunit ribosomal RNA", at positions 524 to 768 of the family's 1533-position model. The record is from RNAcentral.